This is a non-coding RNA of Trametopsis cervina, 83 nucleotides long. The record is from the annotation of a GenBank genome assembly. NCBI's taxonomy places the organism in Eukaryota, Fungi, Basidiomycota, Agaricomycetes, Polyporales, Irpicaceae.
GGCGCUAUAGUGUAGUGGUUAUCACUCAGGAUUUUGAUUUGUAUCAUCUUCCUGGAACCCAGGUUCGAACCCUGGUAGCGCCU